GAUGAACGCUGGCGGCGUGCUUAACACAUGCAAGUCGAACGAAGCACUUUAUUUGAUUUCCUUCGGGACUGAUUAUUUUGUGACUGAGUGGCGGACGGGUGAGUAACUCGUGGGUAACCUGCCUUGUACAGGGGGAUAACAGUUGGAAACGGCUGCUAAUACCGCAUAAGCGCACGGCAUCGCAUGAUGCAGUGUGAAAAACUCCGGUGGUAUAAGAUGGACCCGCGUUGGAUUAGCUAGUUGGUGAGGUAACGGCCCACCAAGGCGACGAUCCAUAGCCGACCUGAGAGGGUGACCGGACACACUGGGACUGAGAAACGGCCCAAACUCCUACGGGAGGCAGCAGUGGGGAAUAUUGCACAAUGGGCGAAAGCCUGAUGCAGCGACGCCGCGUGAGCGAAGAAGUAGUUAGGUAUGUAAAGCUCUAUCAGCAGGGAAGAUAAUGACGGUACCUGAAUAAGAAGCACCGGCUAAAUACGUG
Molecule: ribosomal RNA, 481 nt
Filed under: uncultured bacterium
Lineage: Bacteria
Description: partial 16S ribosomal RNA
Rfam family: Bacterial small subunit ribosomal RNA
Source: RNAcentral